CCCCUAGAUGUUCUGGGCCGCACGCGCGCUACACUGAACAGUUCAACAAGUCUUAACCUUGGCCGAUAGGUCUGGGUAAUCUUUGAACGCUGUUCGUGAUUGGGAUAGACCUUUGCAAUUAUGGGUCUUCAACGAGGAAUUCCUAGUAAACGCAAGUCAUCAGCUUGCAUUGAUUACGUCCCUGCCCUUUGUACACACCGCCCGUCGCACCUACCGAUUGAAUGGUCCGGUGAAAUCUCGGGACGGCGGCUCGGUCGCUUGCGUCCGACUGCUGAAACUUGAUUAAACCAUAUCAUUUAGAGGAAGGUGAAGUCGUAACG
RNAcentral lists this ribosomal RNA (320 nucleotides) under uncultured eukaryote. RNAcentral's name for it is "partial 18S ribosomal RNA". It matches the Rfam family "Eukaryotic small subunit ribosomal RNA", at positions 1470 to 1796 of the family's 1831-position model. The record is from RNAcentral.